UACUCUCACACUCCCGAUCUUUGGAUUGGGAGCGGUGGACUUGGGUGUUGCUGCUUACCGUGGCUCACCUCAAAUGGAUUCGUGCACCUCCUGGUUGGACAUAGUACGGCGUGAUAAGUGUCUUCGCCGGCACCUCAGUAGAGGGUGGCUGACCGGGAGCUCUGUGCUUCAAACCGUCUUCGGACAACAACUGACA
Molecule: unclassified non-coding RNA, 196 nt
Filed under: uncultured Sebacina
Lineage: Eukaryota; Fungi; Basidiomycota; Agaricomycetes; Sebacinales; Sebacinaceae
Description: sequence contains ITS2
Source: RNAcentral